Molecule: unclassified non-coding RNA, 241 nt
Filed under: Geastrum sp.
Lineage: Eukaryota; Fungi; Basidiomycota; Agaricomycetes; Geastrales; Geastraceae
Description: partial internal transcribed spacer region
Rfam family: Eukaryotic small subunit ribosomal RNA (bases 1-46)
Source: RNAcentral
AAGUCGUAACAAGGUUUCCGUAGGUGAACCUGCGGAAGGAUCAUUAAUGAUUGGUGGCUGUUGCUGACUAGUGUUUCUAGUAUGUGCACGCCACACCUUCAAUCCCACUUACACCUGUGCACCAUGGGAGGGCCGUCAGUGUUCUCCCCUUUUUCAUAUAAACACAAAGUUAUAUGCAUGUCUUAUUACUCUACGGAGUUAUAAAAUGUAACAACUUUCAACAACGGAUCUCUUGGCUUUC